UAAUUUUAAUAUUUCUGUAGAUAAAGUUUCUAAGAUGUCAGCAUCUGCAUUUACAAUGUUUUCUCUCCUCUUUCUUUUAGGUAAGUGGCCAUCUUAUGCUUGGAUACAUCAACUUCAGAACGGAUGGAUGUGUAAGGCUCCAUCCCUUGUCUCUGAUGCUGUGGUUAUUCACGAUGUGCCCAGUGACCCUGCUGAUGAAUAUUUUAGACAUCUGCAUGAAUAAUCAGACUGCCCACAGGAGAGCCACUUGCUUGUUUGUGAGGCUGGAAAUGCUAGCUGGAUGAUGCUGACUCGAGUUCUGUGUACCAACGUGAAAAUAAUAAAUACCUAAGUAAAUUCUUAAUUGGGAUUGUCUUUGAGCAUCCACGGGUGCUCUGAAACUGGUUGCCAGAUUUUACACAUAGGGAGAUGUGUGUGCUGGUGUUUUGGAGAAAACUAGAGGUUUUACCAGACUCUCCAAAGAAACUGUGACCCCAUAAAGACUAAGAAGCACUGGAUGCUGCUUUAUAGUCUUCAGAGUGCUUCUACAUACAUUUUUAUUUGACCCUCCCAAUAGUUCUGAGGGAGACAUGGCAGGGAUUCUCUCUCCCUGCCCACUUCCUUCUCCCUCCCUUUUUUUUUUAAAAAAGAGCAUGACUCUGAGCUGAAAUGAUUUUCAGUUUCAUCCGUGUAGGCACAGGGAGCCACUGAAGGGUUUUUUUUUUUAUUCAUACCAGAUAAAUUAGAUUUUAUUAAAAAAAUUUUAUUGGAGUUCAAUUUAACAGCAUAUAGAAUAUCACCCAGUGCUCAUCCCGCCAAGUGCCCCCCUCAGUGCCCAUCACCCAGUCACCCCAGCCCCCUGCCCACCUCCCCUUCCACUACCCCUUAUUCAUUUCCCAGAUUAGGGGACUCUCAUGUUUUGUCACCCUCACUGAUAUUUUCACUCAUUUUCUCUCGUUUCUCUAUAUUCCCUUUCACCACUGAAGGUUUUGACUCAUAAAGUGAGCUGAUCAGAUUGUUACUUACAGAGACUGCCCUGGUGAUAGCAUGGGGGAUGUUUCAGAGGAGUGGGAAGCUAGUUAGAAGGCCAUUUGGAAGAUCAGGUGAGAAACCAUGAUCUAAGUCUGUGGCAGUAAGAUUGGGAAAGAGAUGGGCAGCCCAGGUGGCUCAGCAAUUUAGCACCGCCUUCAGUCCAGGGCAUGACCCUGGAGAUCCAGACCGGGGAUCAAGUCCCACAUCAGGCUCCCUGCGAGGAGCCUGCUUCUUCCUCUGCCUGUGUCUUUGCCUCUCUUUCUCUCUGUGUCUCUCAUAAAUAAAUAAAAUCUUAAAAAAAAAAAAAAAGAAGAAG
Molecule: long non-coding RNA, 1327 nt
Filed under: Canis lupus familiaris (dog)
Lineage: Eukaryota; Metazoa; Chordata; Mammalia; Carnivora; Canidae
Description: lncRNA (ENSCAFG00845004406.1)
Source: RNAcentral